UUUGAGUGUUAAUUAUUUUUCUAGGUAGUAUUAGUUAAGUUCUUGAAACCUAAAGAAUUUGGCGGUAUUUUAUUCCGAUCAGAGGAAUCUGCUCCGUUAUCGAUAAUCCGCGUUGUACCUUACUUAGUUUACUUUGUUUGUAUACCGCCGUAUAUUGAUUAUCAUUUUAGUGUUUAAAUUUUCUUGAUCCUUAAUUUGGUUAUAUUUCAGGUCAAGGUGCAGCUUAUGGCUAAGUGUGAAGUGGAUUACAUUAAUUUUUUGUUUUUGGAUUGUGUUUUGUUAAUUAUAUGCAUGAAAUUGGAUUUGAUUGUAAUGUGUUGGUGAAGAUUGUUUUCAUGAUAAUUGGUUCUAAGAUAUGU
Molecule: ribosomal RNA, 359 nt
Filed under: Rhinotermes marginalis
Lineage: Eukaryota; Metazoa; Arthropoda; Insecta; Blattodea; Rhinotermitidae
Description: partial 12S ribosomal RNA
Source: RNAcentral